This is an RNA transcript of Piliocolobus tephrosceles (Ugandan red Colobus), 1602 nucleotides long. It is a transcript of the gene named renin receptor pseudogene, with no coding region annotated. The transcript has a single exon. The record is from RefSeq and is a predicted model, not a curated record. NCBI's taxonomy places the organism in Eukaryota, Metazoa, Chordata, Mammalia, Primates, Cercopithecidae.
AGAAAGAAAGAAAGAAAGAAAGAAAGAAAGAAAGAAAGAAAAUAAUUCCUCUUCCAAUAUUGGGCAAUUACAGAACUUUCCAACCAAAAUCUUUGCUCACAGGAAUAUAUAUUUCUAUAUCAUUGAUAUAGAAAUCUAUAUCAAAUCUAUAUCAUUUGAUAUAGAAUAUAUAUGUAAUAUUUCUAUAUCAAAUACAUAGUGGAGGAUAUUCUUUUAGAAAAUAUUCAAUAUAUACAGGUAUAAUUUUAUUUUUUACUUUUUUUAAAAAAUAUUCCUUUAACCAAUGAAGGGGCAAGCCCCAGGAGUCAGGACGAGUCCUAAUGCUGUGACCCAGUCACACCGCAGUCCUUCCCAUGUCCCGCCGGCCCACUCCUUGUUGACCUGCACUGUUUGUCAUGCUCUUGUCCUUGUUGGUGUCUAGUGUUUGGGGGAAUGAGUGUAGUUCCUGUUCUGUUAUUUUCAUAAAUGGAAAUUGGCCUAUGCCAGGAGAGUGAAUCCCAGACGUGAUGCAUUGUCCAUGGGCUUCUCUGUGAAGGAAAACCUUUCUUGGCCAGGACUUGCGGUAGGUGACCUAUUUCAUCUUCCUCGGGCUACCGUCAUGGUGAUGGUGAAGGGAGUGGACAAACUGGCUCUUCCAUCAGGCAGUGUCAUUUCAUACCUUUUGGAGAAUGCAGCUCCUUUUGGUCUUGACAAUGUUGCAAAUUCCAUUCACUCUUUAUUUCCUGAGGAAAUUCCUGUUGUUUUGCAGUUGGUUUUUAGUGAGGAAAGUGUGUAUUUGGUAGGGAAGGCAAACUCAGUGUUUGAAGACCUUUCAGUCACCUUAGGACAACUCCAUUAUCACUUGUUUCAGGAAAACUCCAUUCUCAGUUCACUUCCCCUGAAUUCUCUGAGUAAGAACAAUGGAGUUGACCUGCUCUUUCUUUCUGAACUCCAAGUGCUCCAUGAUAUUUCAAGUUUGGUGUCUUGUCAUAAGCAUCUAGCCAAGGAUCAUUCUGAUUUAUAUUCACUGGAACUGGCAUGUUUGGAUGAAACUGGGAAGCAUUACGGGGAAGACUCUGAACAAUUCAGAGUCGCUUCUAAUAUCCUUGUUGACAUUCUUCAAAAGUUUGCAGGUGACAUGUACAAUAUUUAUGGUGGGAAUGCAGUGGUAGAGUUAGUCACUGUUAAGUCAUUUGACACCUCCCUCGUGAGGAAGACAGGGACUAUCUUUGAGGCAAAACAAAUGAAGAACCCAGCAAGUGCCUGUAACCUUGCAUAUAAUUUUGAAUAUUCAGUGAUUUUCAACAUUAUACUUUGAAUAAUGAUUGCCUUGACCCUGGCUGUGGUUAUCACCUCUUAGAAUAUUUGGAACAUGGAUUCUGGAUAUGAUAGCAUCAUUUAGAGGAUUACAAACCAGAAUAUUUGAAUAGAUUGAAUAUUCAUUAUUGAAUUAGAAAAGGGGGUUGGAAAUUGGCUGUUUUUUCAAAUAGAUCUUACAUUGUGAUUUAAAGUAGAUAGUAUACUUUAAAUUUAUUAAAAACUCACAUUUUUUCUCUAUUUGGUGUGUGCCUGUGGUUUUUUUAUAGGGUGAAUUAUAGUAUUGAUGUCAAUCAAACUGUAUGG